GACGAACGCUGGCGGCGUGCUUAACACAUGCAAGUCGAACGGAAAGGCCCUGCUUUUGUGGGGUGCUCGAGUGGCGAACGGGUGAGUAACACGUGAGUAACCUGCCCUUGACUUUGGGAUAACUUCAGGAAACUGGGGCUAAUACCGGAUAGGAGCUCCUGCUGCAUGGUGGGGGUUGGAAAGUUUCGGCGGUUGGGGAUGGACUCGCGGCUUAUCAGCUUGUUGGUGGGGUAGUGGCUUACAAAGGCUUUGACGGGUAGCCGGCCUGAGAGGGUGACCGGCCACAUGGGGACUGAGAUACGGCCCAGACGCCUACGGGAGGCAGCAGUGGGGAAUAUUGCACAAUGGGCGGAAGCCUGAUGCAGCAGCGCCGCGUGCGGGAUGACGGCCUUCGGGUUGUAAACCGCUUUCGCCUGUGACGAAGCGUGAGUGACGGUAAUGGGUAAAGAAGCACCGGCUAACUACGUG
RNAcentral lists this ribosomal RNA (468 nucleotides) under uncultured bacterium. RNAcentral's name for it is "partial 16S ribosomal RNA". It matches the Rfam family "Bacterial small subunit ribosomal RNA", at positions 28 to 507 of the family's 1533-position model. The record is from RNAcentral.